RNAcentral lists this ribosomal RNA (301 nucleotides) under uncultured bacterium. Its description in RNAcentral is "partial 16S ribosomal RNA". It matches the Rfam family "Bacterial small subunit ribosomal RNA", at positions 509 to 807 of the family's 1533-position model. The record is from RNAcentral.
CAGCCGCCGCGGGAACACGAAGGAUGCAAGCGUUAAUCGGAAUUACUGGGCGUAAAGCGUGCGUAGGCGGUUUGUUAAGUCUGCUGUGAAAUCCCCGGGCUCAACCUGGGAAUGGCAGUGGAUACUGGCAAGCUAGAGUGUGUCAGAGGAUGGUGGAAUUCCCGGUGUAGCGGUGAAAUGCGUAGAGAUCGGGAGGAACAUCAGUGGCGAAGGCGGCCAUCUGGGACAACACUGACGCUGAGGCACGAAAGCGUGGGGAGCAAACAGGAUUAGAUACCCGCGUAGUCCCUGUCUCUUAUAC